This 253-nucleotide ribosomal RNA is filed under the name uncultured bacterium. RNAcentral describes it as "partial 16S ribosomal RNA". It matches the Rfam family "Bacterial small subunit ribosomal RNA", at positions 524 to 776 of the family's 1533-position model. The record is from RNAcentral.
UACGUAGGGCGCAAGCGUUGUCCGGAAUCAUUGGGCGUAAAGAGCUCGUAGGCGGCCUGUUGCGUCCGCUGUGAAAUCCCGGGGCUUAACCCCGGGCGUGCAGUGGAUACGGGCUGGCUGGAGGCAGGCAGGGGAGAACGGAAUUCCCGGUGUAGCGGUGAAAUGCGCAGAUAUCGGGAGGAACACCGGUGGCGAAGGCGGGUCUCUGGGCAACAACUGACGCUGAGGAGCGAAAGCGUGGGGAGCGAACAGG